GAUGAACGCUGGCGGCGUGCCUAAUACAUGCAAGUCGAGCGAACAGACGAGGAGCUUGCUCCUCUGACGUUAGCGGCGGACGGGUGAGUAACACGUGGAUAACCUACCUAUAAGACUGGGAUAACUUCGGGAGACCGGAGCUAAUACCGGAUAAUAUAUUGAACCGCAUGGUUCAAUAGUGAAAGACGGUUUUGCUGUCACUUAUAGAUGGAUCCGCGCCGCAUUAGCUAGUUGGUGAGGUAACGGCUUACCAAGGCAACGAUGCGUAGCCGACCUGAGAGGGUGAUCGGCCACACUGGAACUGAGACACGGUCCAGACUCCUACGGGAGGCAGCAGUAGGGAAUCUUCCGCAAAGGGCGAAAGCUUGACGGAGCAACGCCGCGUGAGUGAUGAAGGUCUUCGGAUCGUAAAACUCUGUUAUUAGGGAAGAACAAAUGUGUAAGUAACUAUGCACGUCUUGACGGUACCUAAUCAGAAAGCCACGGCUAACUACGUG
RNAcentral lists this ribosomal RNA (497 nucleotides) under uncultured bacterium. RNAcentral's name for it is "partial 16S ribosomal RNA". It matches the Rfam family "Bacterial small subunit ribosomal RNA", at positions 28 to 507 of the family's 1533-position model. The record is from RNAcentral.